RNAcentral lists this ribosomal RNA (519 nucleotides) under uncultured bacterium. RNAcentral describes it as "bacterial SSU rRNA". It matches the Rfam family "Bacterial small subunit ribosomal RNA", at positions 120 to 674 of the family's 1533-position model. The record is from RNAcentral.
GGGAAUCUACCUAGUUCUGCGGAACAACAGUUGGAAACGACUGCUAAUACCGCAUACGCCCUACGGGGGAAAGAUUUAUCGGAAUUAGAUGAGCCCGCGUAAGAUUAGCUAGUUGGUGGGGUAAUGGCCUACCAAGGCGACGAUCUUUAGCUGGUCUGAGAGGAUGAUCAGCCACACUGGGACUGAGACACGGCCCAGACUCCUACGGGAGGCAGCAGUGGGGAAUAUUGGACAAUGGGCGCAAGCCUGAUCCAGCCAUGCCGCGUGAGUGAUGAAGGCCUUAGGGUUGUAAAGCUCUUUCAGUGGGGAAGAUAAUGACGGUACCCACAGAAGAAGCCCCGGCUAACUUCGUGCCAGCAGCCGCGGUAAUACGAAGGGGGCUAGCGUUGUUCGGAUUACUGGGCGUAAAGCGCACGUAGGCGGAUUGUUAAGUCAGGGGUGAAAUCCUGGAGCUCAACUCCAGAACUGCCUUUGAUACUGGCAAUCUCGAGUCCGGAAGAGGUGAGUGGAACUCCUAGU